RNAcentral lists this ribosomal RNA (497 nucleotides) under uncultured bacterium. Its description in RNAcentral is "partial 16S ribosomal RNA". It matches the Rfam family "Bacterial small subunit ribosomal RNA", at positions 28 to 507 of the family's 1533-position model. The record is from RNAcentral.
GAUGAACGCUGGCGGCGUGCCUAACACAUGCAAGUCGAGCGAACGCACGAGAAGCUCGUUUCUCUGAUGUUAGCGGCGGACGGGUGAGUAACACGUGGAUAACCUACCUAUAAGACUUGGAUAACUUCGGGAAACCGCUGACAAUACUGCAUCAUACUUUGAACGGCUGGGUUCAAAAGAUAAUCACGGUUUUCCCGUCACUUAUAGAUGAUUCCGCGCUGCAUUAGCUAGUUGGUAAGGUAACGGCAUACCAAGGCAACGAUGCUUAGCUGACCUGAGAGGAUGAUCAGCCACACUGGAACUGAGACACGGUCCAGACUCCUACGGGAGGCAGCAGUGGGGAAUCUUCCACAAUGGGCGAAAGCCUGACGGAGCAAUGCCGCGUGAGUGAUGAAGGUCUUCGGGUCGUAAAGCCCUGUUAUUGGGGAAGAAAAGAAGUGUAAUAAACUGUGCACGUCUUGACGGUACCUAAUCAAAAAGCAACGGCUAACUACGUG